UCUCGGCUUAUCACCGGCAGUCCCCUUAGAGUGCCCAACUUAAUGCUGGCAACUAAGGGCGAGGGUUGCGCUCGUUGCGGGACUUAACCCAACAUCUCACGACACGAGCUGACGACAGCCAUGCAGCACCUGUGUGCAGGCCCCGAAGGGAGGGUAACUUUCGUCACCGGUCCUGCACAUGUCAAACCCAGGUAAGGUUCUUCGCGUUGCGUCGAAUUAAACCACAUGCUCCACCGCUUGUGCGGGCCCCCGUCAAUUCCUUUGAGUUUCAACCUUGCGGUCGUACUCCCCAGGCGGGGUACUUCUUGCGUUAGCGCCGGCACCCGGAGGGUCGCUCCCCCAGGCACCUAGUACCCAUCGUUUACGGCGUGGACUAC
RNAcentral lists this unclassified non-coding RNA (377 nucleotides) under uncultured bacterium. RNAcentral's name for it is "contains 16S-23S intergenic spacer region". The record is from RNAcentral.